RNAcentral lists this unclassified non-coding RNA (355 nucleotides) under soil metagenome. Its description in RNAcentral is "partial contains 5.8S ribosomal RNA, internal transcribed spacer 2, and large subunit ribosomal RNA". The stretch from base 1 to 120 matches the Rfam family "5.8S ribosomal RNA", at positions 35 to 154 of the family's 154-position model. The record is from RNAcentral.
GAUGAAGAACGUAGCGAAAUGCGAUAAGUAAUGCGAAUUGCAGAAUUCAGUGAAUCAUCGAAUCUUUGAACGCACAUUCCGCCCGCUAGUAUUCUGGCGGGCAUGCCUGUCUGAGCGUCAUUUCAACCCUCGCCCCCGGCUUUUGCUGGGAGCGGUGUUGGGGAUCGGCCGCCCGUCACUGGGAGGCCGGCCCCGAAAUAGAGUGGCGACCACGCCGUGUGCUCCUCUGCGUAGUAGUAAAUCACCUCGCAGGCGGACAGCGGUGCGGCCUGCCGUAAAACCCCCAACUCUUUCUGGUUGACCUCAGAUCAGGUAGGAAUACCCGCUGAACUUAAGCAUAUCAAUAAGCGGAGGA